RNAcentral lists this ribosomal RNA (301 nucleotides) under uncultured bacterium. Its description in RNAcentral is "partial 16S ribosomal RNA". It matches the Rfam family "Bacterial small subunit ribosomal RNA", at positions 509 to 808 of the family's 1533-position model. The record is from RNAcentral.
CAGCCGCCGCGGGAAUACGUAGGUGGCAAGCGUUGUCCGGAAUUAUUGGGCGUAAAGCGCGCGCAGGCGGUUUCUUAAGUCUGGUGUGAAAGCCCCCGGCUUAACCGGGGAGGGUCACUGGAAACUGGGAGACUUAGAGUGCAGAAGAGGAGAGUGGAAUUCCAUGUGUAGCGGUGAAAUGCGUAGAUAUAUGGAGGAACACCAGUGGCGAGGGCGACUCUCUGGUCUGUAACUGACGCUGAGGCGCGAAAGCGUGGGGAGCAAACAGGAUUAGAUACCCCGGUAGUCCCUGUCUCUUAUU